ACAUCCCUGCUCAUACAUAGAAACACAGGUGCCUGCAAAAUAUGUCCCAGUCAGUUGUUGAUUACAAAAUUGCAGUCAUCGAUUUCAUUGCCUACAAUCACACACACACACACACACACAUCUGUGCUCACACACCCUCCCUGCCUUCCCCUCAUAUCACAAUACACAUACUUCACCAAACAGCCCUCCCACACACACAUCUCCUCCUCCCCAGAGGAGGAGGGAUUCUCCUGGUCCUUGGUUUAAAGGUGUGGCCUGAGGGCCGAUUCCUCUGAAAAGCAGUCUCCUGAGAGAAGGAUCCCCCGCUGCUCCCCACCUUCCUACAGUCCUGUGCCCCCACUUGUCCUGCUCCUGAGGGAGGCGAGGCAAGGUGAUCCGAUCCGCAGUGGCUCUGGCGACAGCGAUCUGAAGUCAACGGGCCGGAGAACUUGGGUAAGACCUGCCCGCAUCUGGUCCUCAGUUUUCCCAGUUGUGA
This 475-nucleotide long non-coding RNA is filed under the name Mustela putorius furo (domestic ferret). Its description in RNAcentral is "lncRNA (ENSMPUG00000028002.1)". The record is from RNAcentral. Lineage: Eukaryota; Metazoa; Chordata; Mammalia; Carnivora; Mustelidae.